UAUAUUUUAAAGUGAAUUGGAAAGUGGACCGUUAGCAAAAAAGAUUCGGGCGACUGGGCGAAGCCCAUCUCUGUACAAUGACUGCCAAAUGUGCAUGCAACUGUGCAAUGCCCAGCGACUCUAAAAGCAUGAAGUAUUGUACGACACAUCCUUUACAAGUAUUUGGACAUAUUUUGUGUAAUAUCCAUUUUUUCCGGUCAUUCUAAAUAAUUAUUACUGAUUAGAUAUUCUGUCAAGUGUCAGUAUUACCAUUGUAAGUUUAAUAAUAUAUACCAUUUUUAUAAUAGGCCCCAUGACAAUGGACUGGAAAAUUCACCUGCUUCAAUUCCCUCUUUCACGCAAUCAUACACUGUGUCAUUUCAAGCAUCCCAAUGUUUCAAUGCGGACAAUGCCCAAAACAGAGAUCAAGCCAUGCUCCAAUCCAGUCCAUGGCAAAAUUGUUGGGACAGGCGGUAGAAACUCUUAUGCUACAAGCUACGGCAUCUGCAAGUUUCCACUGAUUAUAGUGUGGACUCGGACAUACCGGAAUUGAUGAAAUUCAUUGUCAAUUCAUUGUCUGAUUACAUUUUGAUCCAGAAUACAUUCAAGGAUUAAAAAAUGGCUCAUAGGAUAUUUGUCAAGUCUCGGAGGUUGCUCCAAGAAAGACUGGAUUGGAGAAUCAUGAGCUCAGUUAUAACAAAUUUACUCGCCCGCUCUUUCAACUGUGCAGGACGCGGUGGAUAAGGAGUGAGUGGGACGCCCUUAGUUUCUGCUAUUAAAGGUACCGCUCUGGAUGAUCUGGCAACGAACUCCGAUUAAUUAUAUUACAUGUAUACAUAUUUGUAAAAUAAAGACAUUUUGU
Molecule: non-coding RNA, 841 nt
Organism: Styela clava
Lineage: Eukaryota; Metazoa; Chordata; Ascidiacea; Stolidobranchia; Styelidae
Source: RefSeq, a predicted model, not a curated record